Molecule: ribosomal RNA, 1042 nt
Filed under: uncultured Gammaproteobacteria bacterium
Lineage: Bacteria; Pseudomonadati; Pseudomonadota; Gammaproteobacteria
Description: bacterial SSU rRNA
Rfam family: Bacterial small subunit ribosomal RNA
Source: RNAcentral
AGAGUUUGAUCCUGGCUCAGAUUGAACGCUGGCGGCAAGCCUAACACAUGCAAGUCGAACGGUAACACAAAAGGGUUUACUCUUUAGGUGACGAGUGGCGAACGGGUGAGUAAUAUCUGGGGAUCUGCCCGACGGAGGGGGAUAACCAUUGGAAACGAUGGCUAAUACCGCAUAAUGUUGAAAAACCAAAGUGGGGGACCUUUUUAUAAGGCCUCAUGCCAUCGGAUGAACCCAGAUGGGAUUAGCUAGUAGGUGGGGUAAUGGCUCACCUAGGCAACGAUCCUUAGCUGGUCUGAGAGGAUAACCAGCCACACUGGAACUGAGACACGGUCCAGACUCCUACGGGAGGCAGCAGUGGGGAAUAUUGCACAGUGGGCGAAAGCCUGAUGCAGCUAUGCCGCGUGUAUGAAGAAGGCCUUCGGGUUGUAAAGUACUUUCAGUAGGGAAGAAGGCAAUUUAGUUAAAACCUAUGUUGAUUGACGUUACCUACAGAAGAAGCACCGGCUAACUCCGUGCCAGCAGCCGCGGUAAUACGGAGGGUGCGAGCGUUAAUCGGAAUUACUGGGCGUAAAGAGCACGUAGGCGGUUUAUUAAGUCAGAUGUGAAAUCCCUAAGCUUAACUUAGGAACUGCAUUUGAAACUGAUAGACUUGAGUUUCAUAGAGGAGAGCAGAAUUCCAGGUGUAGCGGUGAAAUGCGUAGAGAUCUGGAGGAAUAUCAGUGGCGAAGGCGGCUCUCUGGAUGAAAACUGACGCUCAGGUGCGAAAGCGUGGGGAGCAAACAGGAUUAGAUACCCUGGUAGUCCACGCCGUAAACGAUGUCGACUUGAAAGUUGUGUCUUUAAGAUGUGGCCUUCGUAGCUAACGCGUUAAGUCGACCGCCUGGGGAGUACGACCGCAAGGUUAAAACUCAAAUGAAUUGACGGGGGCCCGCACAAGCGGUGGAGCAUGUGGUUUAAUUCGAUGCAACGCGAAAAACCUUACCUACCCUUGACAUCCAGCGAACUAAGUGAAAUACUUGGGUGCCUUCGGGAACGCUGAGAC